GCCCGCCGCCUCCUGGGGCCGCUCUCCACUGCGAGUCCGCCGGGACUAACCGGGCGUUUGCGAGAGGGGGUGCGUCCAAGGGCCCCUCCCGCGUGUCCGGCGCCCACCUUUGGCCCUGAGGGCCGAGUGGGGAGCCCCACGACGCUAUUACAGCCUUUCAGAUGCACGGACUGGGAAACUGGGGCUCAGAGAAGUCAAGUGGCUCGCCCAAGGUCACCCAGCGAGUGAUCCUGGGAAGAGGGGACAAGGGCCGAGCUGGAGCUGGGAAGGGCGCCCCAGUUCGCCCCAGUCGCGCUCUGAGGAAUAGCAGCGGGACCGCCCUGCUCUCUAAAGCUUCCUGGACUUCUCUAAGUUAUGUCGCGUUGCUGUCCCCUCGUACUUAUAAGAGAGUAAGGCAGGGGCGCCGUCCUUUCUCCGCGCCUGAGCUCAGAGCGCCAACCUCCUGAGAUCCGCCAGCUCAGAGGUCGGUUACAUAAAAGCGCGUGCCCUUCUGGGCGUCUUUGUCAUCCCGACUUGCUCCUGGGUUGUCAUUCUCUUAGGUCAUAAACCGGCUGUGCCUGGACACAGCUGAGUGAGCCGCGUCUGAGCUCAUCCGCUCCUGGGGAGAGGCCCUGGGACGCCCCGCCUGUCGGUGGCAAUGCUCUCUGUCCCCUUCCGCCCACCCCCAACCCCCAGCAAAUGCUCUCCAAGGCCAUUUCAGAUUUCCCGAGGCAUGUGGAAUAAACGUCCCCCAGGAAGGCGAAGGACUCCAGUCCUUGCCCUGCCAUUUUUCCUGCCUUCAAACAGCCAGCUCAAGUCCCGGCCUCAAUGUCACCUUCCCUGGACAGCCUCUCAGGACCUCCCUGGCAAAUCUCAACUUGCAAGAAGCAGAAAAAUGGCACAGUUAAAAGCAAAGCCUCUGGGGUUAAACAGCCUGGAUUUGGAAUCAUGGAUCUGCUGCUCACUAGCUGUGACCUUGGGCAAGUUUCUUCACCUCAGGGUCCUCAUCCGUCAAGUGGAGAUGACAACCAAACUUAUUUCAUAAGAAGUUCAUGAGAAUAAAUAUGUUAACUCAUAAUGAAAUACCCA
RNAcentral lists this long non-coding RNA (1068 nucleotides) under Homo sapiens (human). RNAcentral describes it as "non-protein coding lnc-ZFAT-3:6". The record is from RNAcentral. Lineage: Eukaryota; Metazoa; Chordata; Mammalia; Primates; Hominidae.